RNAcentral lists this ribosomal RNA (2923 nucleotides) under Klebsiella pneumoniae. Its description in RNAcentral is "bacterial LSU rRNA". It matches the Rfam family "Bacterial large subunit ribosomal RNA". The record is from RNAcentral. Lineage: Bacteria; Pseudomonadati; Pseudomonadota; Gammaproteobacteria; Enterobacterales; Enterobacteriaceae.
GGGUUGUGAGGUUAAGCGACUAAGCGUACACGGUGGAUGCCCUGGCAGUCAGAGGCGAUGAAGGACGUGCUAAUCUGCGAAAAGCGUCGGUAAGGUGAUAUGAACCGUUAUAACCGGCGAUGUCCGAAUGGGGAAACCCAGUGCAAUUCGUUGCACUAUCGUUAACUGAAUACAUAGGUUAACGAGGCGAACCGGGGGAACUGAAACAUCUAAGUACCCCGAGGAAAAGAAAUCAACCGAGAUUCCCCCAGUAGCGGCGAGCGAACGGGGAGCAGCCCAGAGUCUGAAUCAGCUUGUGUGUUAGUGGAACGGUCUGGAAAGUCCGACGGUACAGGGUGAUAGUCCCGUACACCAAAAUGCACAGGUUGUGAACUCGAAGAGUAGGGCGGGACACGUGGUAUCCUGUCUGAAUAUGGGGGGACCAUCCUCCAAGGCUAAAUACUCCUGACUGACCGAUAGUGAACCAGUACCGUGAGGGAAAGGCGAAAAGAACCCCGGCGAGGGGAGUGAAAAAGAACCUGAAACCGUGUACGUACAAGCAGUGGGAGCACCUUCGGGUGUGACUGCGUACCUUUUGUAUAAUGGGUCAGCGACUUAUAUUCUGUAGCAAGGUUAACCGUAUAGGGGAGCCGCAGGGAAACCGAGUCUUAACUGGGCGUUAAGUUGCAGGGUAUAGACCCGAAACCCGGUGAUCUAGCCAUGGGCAGGUUGAAGGUUGGGUAACACUAACUGGAGGACCGAACCGACUAAUGUUGAAAAAUUAGCGGAUGACUUGUGGCUGGGGGUGAAAGGCCAAUCAAACCGGGAGAUAGCUGGUUCUCCCCGAAAGCUAUUUAGGUAGCGCCUCGUGAAUUCAUCUUCGGGGGUAGAGCACUGUUUCGGCUAGGGGGUCAUCCCGACUUACCAACCCGAUGCAAACUACGAAUACCGAAGAAUGUUAUCACGGGAGACACACGGCGGGUGCUAACGUCCGUCGUGAAGAGGGAAACAACCCAGACCGCCAGCUAAGGUCCCAAAGUCAUGGUUAAGUGGGAAACGAUGUGGGAAGGCACAGACAGCCAGGAUGUUGGCUUAGAAGCAGCCAUCAUUUAAAGAAAGCGUAAUAGCUCACUGGUCGAGUCGGCCUGCGCGGAAGAUGUAACGGGGCUAAACCAUGCACCGAAGCUGCGGCAGCGACACUAUGUGUUGUUGGGUAGGGGAGCGUUCUGUAAGCCUGCGAAGGUGUGCUGUGAGGCAUGCUGGAGGUAUCAGAAGUGCGAAUGCUGACAUAAGUAACGAUAAAGCGGGUGAAAAGCCCGCUCGCCGGAAGACCAAGGGUUCCUGUCCAACGUUAAUCGGGGCAGGGUGAGUCGACCCCUAAGGCGAGGCCGAAAGGCGUAGUCGAUGGGAAACAGGUUAAUAUUCCUGUACUUGGUGUUACUGCGAAGGGGGGACGGAGAAGGCUAUGUUAGCCGGGCGACGGUUGUCCCGGUUUAAGCAUGUAGGCUGAUUGUCCAGGCAAAUCCGGAUAAUCAAGGCUGAGGUGUGAUGACGAGGCACUACGGUGCUGAAGUAACAAAUGCCCUGCUUCCAGGAAAAGCCUCUAAGCAUCAGGUAACAUCAAAUCGUACCCCAAACCGACACAGGUGGUCAGGUAGAGAAUACCAAGGCGCUUGAGAGAACUCGGGUGAAGGAACUAGGCAAAAUGGUGCCGUAACUUCGGGAGAAGGCACGCUGGUGUGUAGGUGAAGUCCCUGCGGAUGGAGCUGAGACCAGUCGAAGAUACCAGCUGGCUGCAACUGUUUAUUAAAAACACAGCACUGUGCAAACACGAAAGUGGACGUAUACGGUGUGACGCCUGCCCGGUGCCGGAAGGUUAAUUGAUGGGGUUAUCCGUAAGGAGAAGCUCUUGAUCGAAGCCCCGGUAAACGGCGGCCGUAACUAUAACGGUCCUAAGGUAGCGAAAUUCCUUGUCGGGUAAGUUCCGACCUGCACGAAUGGCGUAAUGAUGGCCAGGCUGUCUCCACCCGAGACUCAGUGAAAUUGAACUCGCUGUGAAGAUGCAGUGUACCCGCGGCAAGACGGAAAGACCCCGUGAACCUUUACUAUAGCUUGACACUGAACAUUGAGCCUUGAUGUGUAGGAUAGGUGGGAGGCUUUGAAGCGUGGACGCCAGUCUGCGUGGAGCCAACCUUGAAAUACCACCCUUUAAUGUUUGAUGUUCUAACGUUGGCCCCUUACCGGGGUUGCGGACAGUGUCUGGUGGGUAGUUUGACUGGGGCGGUCUCCUCCCAAAGCGUAACGGAGGAGCACGAAGGUUAGCUAAUCCUGGUCGGACAUCAGGAGGUUAGUGCAAUGGCAUAAGCUAGCUUGACUGCGAGCGUGACGGCGCGAGCAGGUGCGAAAGCAGGUCAUAGUGAUCCGGUGGUUCUGAAUGGAAGGGCCAUCGCUCAACGGAUAAAAGGUACUCCGGGGAUAACAGGCUGAUACCGCCCAAGAGUUCAUAUCGACGGCGGUGUUUGGCACCUCGAUGUCGGCUCAUCACAUCCUGGGGCUGAAGUAGGUCCCAAGGGUAUGGCUGUUCGCCAUUUAAAGUGGUACGCGAGCUGGGUUUAGAACGUCGUGAGACAGUUCGGUCCCUAUCUGCCGUGGGCGCUGGAGAAUUGAGGGGGGCUGCUCCUAGUACGAGAGGACCGGAGUGGACGCAUCACUGGUGUUCGGGUUGUCAUGCCAAUGGCACUGCCCGGUAGCUAAAUGCGGAAGAGAUAAGUGCUGAAAGCAUCUAAGCACGAAACUUGCCCCGAGAUGAGUUCUCCCUGAGACUUUAAGUCUCCUGAAGGAACGUUGAAGACGACGACGUUGAUAGGCCGGGUGUGUAAGCGCAGCGAUGCGUUGAGCUAACCGGUACUAAUGAACCGUGAGGCUUAACCUUACAACGCCGAAG